RNAcentral lists this non-coding RNA (49 nucleotides) under Trichobilharzia regenti. Lineage: Eukaryota; Metazoa; Platyhelminthes; Trematoda; Strigeidida; Schistosomatidae. The record is from RNAcentral.
AUCCAGAUGACGAGUCCCAAAUAGGACGAAAUGUGCAUCCUGACUGAAU